RNAcentral lists this ribosomal RNA (253 nucleotides) under uncultured bacterium. RNAcentral describes it as "partial 16S ribosomal RNA". It matches the Rfam family "Bacterial small subunit ribosomal RNA", at positions 524 to 776 of the family's 1533-position model. The record is from RNAcentral.
UACAGAGGUCUCAAGCGUUGUUCGGAUUCAUUGGGCGUAAAGGGUGCGUAGGUGGCGCGGUAAGUCGGAUGUGAAAUCUCGGAGCUUAACUCCGAAAUUGCAUUCGAUACUGCCGUGCUUGAGGACUGGAGAGGAGACUGGAAUUCAUGGUGUAGCAGUGAAAUGCGUAGAGAUCAUGAGGAAGACCAGUGGCGAAGGCGGGUCUCUGGACAGUUCCUGACACUGAGGCACGAAGGCCAGGGGAGCAAACGGG